GCGUUUCUUCAACCUUUUCCCAUUUUCAUUACCGUAAUAGACUAAAAAGAGCAAAAACAUGAUGAUGUCAAGGAUGGCGCCACCACGGUAUUUGGGCCAGCAGCCUAUCGAGCAUAUAUGGGUGCAUCUCUUCACCUCCGUCGACCAAUGGGGCUUUCUUACAAGUUUAUGGCAACACCACCAUUCGUCGCAGCUCCUUCGCAGCCACAAUCACCUCUGGGCAGAUCGGCUUCGCCAACUCCAAGAGCGCAGAUGCGACCUCGUGGUUCCAACAAGAAGCAACUUUACCAAUUUUGUGAAUUGCUAGAUAUGUAUCAGAUAUAACUUUGAUUCUCUGCGUGGGAAAUGUUUGAGAAAAUGACGCAAUGGAAUUUUUAUGUUUGGUUAGUGAUGAUAUAUGGGUAUUUUAAGAAGGGCGAUAUCGACACUAGGGAUUUUUGAUCGGAUGAGUUUGAGGAACUUGAUUGUUUGGAAUUCGUUGAUUUUUGGGUACAUGCUAAAGUUUGAGAAAUGAAGGUUUCUAUAUAUUUUUGUUUCCUCGUUUUAUAAUCUGGAACUUUAGUCAACGGCGUAGGGGAAAAGGUUGAGAUCUAUGAGCUCAAGAAAAAUGAUUUCUCUAUAAAAAUUGACCAAUUUUUUGUGUAAGAAUCAUAUUUGUUAUUCUUCUCAACAGUAAUGGAGAAUUUUUUUGGUCCCUUUUUUUCGAAUAUUCUUGCAAAAUUCCAUUUUCUCAUCAGUUUUAAAUCAAUAGUGUUUCAAAUAAUCUGUAUCUACAAUCAUAUUGCAGAGCAGUUCAAUUUUCUUUUUUUUUUUUGGUUGCCUGCUCUUUUCAAUUGCUUCAGUUUUAAAUUGAAUAACAAAUUGUCUUAGAGAUCCAAUUUGUGAUGCUUGUAGGUACAACUAAACUCAAGAGUUUCAACACCGGAUGCUUUUGUGGUGCCCAAGAGAUUGUUCGUGUAGAGGCAUGCAAAAGUGUUUUCUAGUCUCCAUUUUAUUUGGGCUGGUAUUAUCGAUUUCACUCCUAAUUUUUAUUAUUAUUGCUGGAGCAGUUGAACAUAGUUGCUUGAAGUAGCAACGAUUAUUAUGGUAACCAAACAAGCAUCAAGAGCUAGUGACACAACUUUACACAUUAUAACCUUUAAUUCCUUUUAAAGCUGUAAUAUUUGAAUCGAACUUUACUCUUUUCAUCGGGAUAACUGAACUGAAUAACACCAAUGCAGGAUGGUCUUUAUCUUUCUCAACAAAGAUUGCAUGUGUUGUUAAUGUAUAUAUGUUAUGCAUUUUGAAUAAGAACUUGG
Molecule: long non-coding RNA, 1298 nt
Filed under: Olea europaea subsp. europaea
Lineage: Eukaryota; Viridiplantae; Streptophyta; Magnoliopsida; Lamiales; Oleaceae
Source: RNAcentral